Zonotrichia albicollis (white-throated sparrow) is the source of this 1021-nucleotide long non-coding RNA. Lineage: Eukaryota; Metazoa; Chordata; Aves; Passeriformes; Passerellidae. The record is from Ensembl.
AUCCCAAAUCCGGGUCUGAAUUCCCUGGGAGGAGCUUCCUUACAGGGGGAUCAGACCCCUUUUCCAUGGGGAAAUCCCAAUCCCAAAUCUGGAUCUGAACCCUGUGGGACGAGUAUCCUUCCAGGAGGAUCAGACCCUUUUUCCAUAGGGAAAGCUCAAUCCCGAUCCCAAAUUCAGGUCUGAAUUCCCUGGGAGGAGCAUCCUUACAGGGGGAUCAGACCCUUUUUCCAUGGGGAAAUCCUUCCAGGAGGAUCAGACCCUUUUUCCAUAGGGAAAUCUCAAUCCCAAAUCCAAAUUUGGGUCUGAAUUCCCUGGGAGGAGCAUCCUUACAGGGGGAUCAGACCCUUUUUCCAUGGGGAAAUCCCAAUCCCAAAUCCAGGUCUGAAUUCCCUGGGAGGAGCUUCUUUCCAUGGGGGGAUCAGACCCUUUUUCCAUGGGGAAAUCCCAUGGGGAUCAGACCCCUUUUCCAUGGGGAAAUCCCAAUCCCGACCCCAAAUCCGGGUCUGAAUUCCCUGGGAGGAGCUGCCUUCCAGGGGGAUCAGAAUUAACAGGGGAGAAACCCUAAAAGAGAGAAACCCCCCUUGGGAUCAGAGGGAAAUCCCUGAGGAACAGAGGGAUCCCAAACNAGGACAGGACACACCCCAAUUCCUCCAUCUUACUCCUCUAAACCCCCCUGUACAUAAAUCCUAAACCCUGUGUCUCACCCUCUAAUUAGCUAAUCUCUUUGCCAUUCACCCCGGUGAAGUCCUCUUAUCUUCAUAAAGGUGUCGUCUCCCGUGUAGGGUCAAAGUCCUGCCACCAAACACUUCUGGCAACAUUCCAGGACUCCCGGGCCCCCCAAGGGUGGUCUCGGAGGCUCAGCAUCUCAGGACUCAGAUCCUGAGAUCCCACACCUUGGCACAGGGGCGGUGACACCGCGUCCUCGGCGCUGCCACUGAGACACACACACACAGAGAUCCAAAAAUGUGGGAAAAUGUGUGGGAAAUUUAUUCUCAAGGAUGGAGAAAACCAAGCCUGGGAG